GGUCAAGCGAACAAGUGCAUGUGGUGGAUGCCUUGGCGAUCACAGGCGAUGAAGGACGCGGUAGCCUGCGAAAAGCUACGGGGAGCUGGCAAACGAGCUUUGAUCCGUAGAUGUCCGAAUGGGGAAACCCACUCCUUUUGGAGUAUCCAUGGCUGAAUACAUAGGCCAUGUGAAGCGAACGCGGUGAACUGAAACAUCUAAGUAACCGCAGGAAAAGAAAUCAACCGAGAUUCCCAAAGUAGUGGCGAGCGAAAUGGGAUGAGCCUUGCACUCUUUAUUUGUAUUGUUAGCCGAACGCUCUGGAAAGUGCGGCCAUAGCAGGUGAUAGCCCUGUAGGCGAAAACAGUAUGAAAGAACUAGGUGUGCGACAAGUAGGGCGGGACACGUGAAAUCCUGUCUGAAGAUGGGGGGACCAUCCUCCAAGGCUAAAUACUCGUGAUCGACCGAUAGUGAACCAGUACCGUGAGGGAAAGGCGAAAAGAACCCCGGGAGGGGAGUGAAAUAGAUCCUGAAACCGCAUGCAUACAAACAGUCGGAGCCUCGCAAGGGGUGACGGCGUACCUUUUGUAUAAUGGGUCAGCGACUUACGUUCAGUAGCAAGCUUAACCGUAUAGGGCAGGCGUAGCGAAAGCGAGUCCGAAUAGGGCGUUCAGUUGCUGGGCGUAGACCCGAAACCAGGUGAUCUAUCCAUGGCCAGGAUGAAGGUGCGGUAACACGUACUGGAGGUCCGAACCCACUAACGUUGAAAAGUUAGGGGAUGAGCUGUGGAUAGGGGUGAAAGGCUAAACAAACCUGGAAAUAGCUGGUUCUCUCCGAAAACUAUUUAGGUAGUGCCUCGUGUCUCACCUUCGGGGGUAGAGCACUGUCAUGGUUGGGGGGUCUAUUGCAGAUUACCCCGCCAUAGCAAACUCCGAAUACCGAAGAGUGCAAUCACGGGAGACAGACAUCGGGUGCUAACGUCCGGUGUCAAGAGGGAAACAACCCAGACCGCCAGCUAAGGUCCCCAAAUAUAGCUAAGUGGGAAACGAAGUGGGAAGGCUAAAACAGUCAGGAGGUUGGCUUAGAAGCAGCCACCCUUUAAAGAAAGCGUAAUAGCUCACUGAUCGAGUCGUCCUGCGCGGAAGAUGUAACGGGGCUAAGCUAUAUACCGAAGCUGCGGAUGCGUGCUUAGCACGCAUGGUAGGAGAGCGUUCCGUAAGCCUGCGAAGGUGCCUUGUAAAGGGUGCUGGAGGUAUCGGAAGUGCGAAUGCUGACAUGAGUAGCGAUAAAGGGGGUGAAAGGCCCCCUCGCCGUAAGCCCAAGGUUUCCUACGCAACGUUCAUCGGCGUAGGGUGAGUCGGCCCCUAAGGCGAGGCAGAAAUGCGUAGCUGAUGGGAAGCAGGUCAAUAUUCCUGCACCAUUGUUAGAUGCGAUGGGGGGACGGAUCGCGGAAGGUUGUCCGGGUGUUGGAAGUCCCGGUCGCUGCAUUGGAGAAGGCGCUUAGGCAAAUCCGGGCGCAGGAUUCAAGGGUGUGGCGCGAGCUCCUUAGGGAGCGAAGCAAUUGGAAGUGGUUCCAAGAAAAGCCUCUAAGCUUCAGUCUAACGAUGACCGUACCGCAAACCGACACAGGUGGGCGAGAUGAGUAUUCUAAGGCGCUUGAGAGAACUCGGGAGAAGGAACUCGGCAAAUUGGUACCGUAACUUCGGGAUAAGGUACGCCCUUGUAGCUUGACUGGCCUGCGCCAGGAGGGUGAAGGGGUUGCAAUAAACUGGUGGCUGCGACUGUUUAAUAAAAACACAGCACUCUGCAAACACGAAAGUGGACGUAUAGGGUGUGACGCCUGCCCGGUGCCGGAAGAUUAAAUGAUGGGGUGCAAGCUCUUGAUUGAAGUCCCGGUAAACGGCGGCCGUAACUAUAACGGUCCUAAGGUAGCGAAAUUCCUUGUCGGGUAAGUUCCGACCUGCACGAAUGGCGUAACGAUGGCCACACUGUCUCCUCCCGAGACUCAGCGAAGUUGAAGUGUUUGUGAUGAUGCAAUCUACCCGCGGCUAGACGGAAAGACCCCAUGAACCUUUACUGUAGCUUUGCAUUGGACUUUGAACCGAUCUGUGUAGGAUAGGUGGGAGGCUAUGAAACCGGAACGCUAGUUUCGGUGGAGCCGUCCUUGAAAUACCACCCUGGUUUGUUUGAGGUUCUAACCUUGGCCCGUGAUCCGGGUCGGGGACAGUGCAUGGUAGGCAGUUUGACUGGGGCGGUCUCCUCCCAAAGCGUAACGGAGGAGUACGAAGGUACGCUAGGUACGGUCGGAAAUCGUGCUGAUAGUGCAAUGGCAUAAGCGUGCUUAACUGCGAGACCGACAAGUCGAGCAGGUGCGAAAGCAGGUCAUAGUGAUCCGGUGGUUCUGUAUGGAAGGGCCAUCGCUCAACGGAUAAAAGGUACUCUGGGGAUAACAGGCUGAUACCGCCCAAGAGUUCAUAUCGACGGCGGUGUUUGGCACCUCGAUGUCGGCUCAUCUCAUCCUGGGGCUGUAGCCGGUCCCAAGGGUAUGGCUGUUCGCCAUUUAAAGAGGUACGUGAGCUGGGUUUAAAACGUCGUGAGACAGUUUGGUCCCUAUCUGCCGUGGGCGUUGGAUAUUUGAAGGGGGCUGCUCCUAGUACGAGAGGACCGGAGUGGACGAACCUCUGGUGUACCGGUUGUCACGCCAGUGGCAUCGCCGGGUAGCUAUGUUCGGAAGAGAUAACCGCUGAAAGCAUCUAAGCGGGAAACUCGCCUUAAGAUGAGAUAUCCCUGGGGACUAGAUCCCCUUGAAGGGUCGUUCGAGACCAGGACGUUGAUAGGUCAGGUGUGUAAGCGCAGUAAUGCGUUCAGCUAACUGAUACUAAUUGCCCGUAAGGCUUGAUCCU
This 2882-nucleotide ribosomal RNA is filed under the name Burkholderia sp. EMB26. RNAcentral's name for it is "23S ribosomal RNA". It matches the Rfam family "Bacterial large subunit ribosomal RNA". Lineage: Bacteria; Pseudomonadati; Pseudomonadota; Betaproteobacteria; Burkholderiales; Burkholderiaceae. The record is from RNAcentral.